This 1098-nucleotide long non-coding RNA is filed under the name Anolis carolinensis (green anole). RNAcentral describes it as "lncRNA (ENSACAG00000038300.1)". Lineage: Eukaryota; Metazoa; Chordata; Lepidosauria; Squamata; Anolidae. The record is from RNAcentral.
AUGGGGACCCCUCUCAGCCCAGUAGUAGCAAAUUUCUAUAUGGAAUACUUUGAAAAACAGGCCCUAGAAACAGCACCAAAAAAGCCAACUGUUUGGUUCAGAUACGUAGAUGACACCUUCACAAUUUGGAGCCAUGGAGAGGAAGAACUCAGCAAGUUCCUGGACCAUCUUAACAGCAUCCACCCAAACAUCCAAUUCACCAUGGAAAAAGAAAAGGAAGGAAAACUGCCAUUUCUAGCUGUUCUGGUCAUUCGCAAACACAAUCAACAAUUGGGCCACACAGUUUACAGAAAACCUACACACACAGAUAGAUACCUUCAUAAAAACUCCAACCAUCACCCAAGUCAAAAAAGGAGCACAAUCAAAGCCCUGGCAGACCGUGCACAAAGAAUCUGCGAACCUCACCUCCUCCAAGGUGAACUCAACCACCUAAACUGGGCUCUACAGGCCAAUGGAUACUCCACCACAGACAUCAGAAGAGCUGCAAGGCCAAGAACAAGCCAUGAGAGUCAAGACAAAGAUCCACCCAGAGGAAAGGUGCUCUUACCAUACAUCAAGGGAACUACUGACCGCAUAGGCAAAGUGAUGAAGAAGCACAACCUACAAACUAUCUACAGGCCCACAAAGAAAAUCCAACAAAUGCUACGGUCAGCGAAGGACAAGAGGGAUCCUCUUUCUUCUGCAGGAGUCUACUGGAUACCAUGCAGCUGUGGACAAGUCUACAUAGGGACCACCAAACGCAGCGCCCAAACAAGAGUCAAAGAACAUGAAAGGCACUGCAGACUAAUUCAACCAGAGAAAUCAGCCAUAGCAGAGCAUUUGAUGAACCAGCCUGGACACAAGAUACUAUUUGAGAACACAAAAAUGCUGGACCAUUCCAACAACUAUCAUGUCAGACUACACAGAGAAGCCAUUGAAAUCCACAAGCAUGUGGACAACUUUAACAGAAAGGAAGAAACCAUGAAAAUGAACAAAAUCUGGCUAGCAGUAUUACAAAACUCCAAAAUCAAAACAGUAGAUGGGAACCAACACAAUGAAGGUUUGACUGAACAAAGGAUGCCCCCAGGCAAGGGACAAAACAUCUCCAAUGCUAAUUAG